CUUCCUGCCACCACUGGGCUCUGGCUCUCCCAGUUUAAAUGAGGAGCCUCCCAUUACUCAGUCAGGCAUACCUGCUUCCUGCUUCGAAGCCUCCGUUUCUUGGAAAUAGCCUGUCAGGUCCCAUCUGCUUCAUGAAGCUGCUAGUCCCCUGAGAGUAGGACCUCCACUCUGAUCUCCUGUCAGAUGCUGGAAACUCAGAAGGGAAUAAUCCUUCCAAUCUGCCAGAAAUUGCUUUUGUGAUAUCAAGGCCUGCCUCAGGGAACCACAAUAUACUACACUCAGAUGAAAAUUAGAUUUAAUAACCAUCCCAAUAUCCUGAGUCAACUUAGCUCAAGGAUAUGAUUCUUCAUGCAUAACGGCUCUAAAGUCUCUUCAGCAUCACCGUUUUUAGAUGCAUUUCCAUUUCCUAAAGUUUCACCUGACUCAUGAUGUCCAGAAGUGACCACGAUACUUCAAAUGCAGAGAGUUCAAACAUAUCGAAGUCUCACUAGGUCGUGGGUACUGGACCACACCAAUGCACAAAACAAGACUAGUUUCUGCCCUCAGGAGUCUAUGGAUCAUUGACCCUAUCAUCAUGAUCAUUAU
Molecule: long non-coding RNA, 585 nt
Organism: Mustela erminea (ermine)
Lineage: Eukaryota; Metazoa; Chordata; Mammalia; Carnivora; Mustelidae
Exons: 3
Source: RefSeq, a predicted model, not a curated record